AACCAUAUAUGGAACGUCACAACAAGAAUAUUUGUGCAUUUGGAGAUCAUAGGAUAUUGGGAAGACACCGGCUGAAAAGUACAAUUUUUUUUUUUUUUUUGGGGGAAAGGAACAGAGAAGUGCAAGUCAAAAAGGAGAAAAAAUGAAAACAGAGAGAUGAAAAGGAAUGCAAUCUAAUUAAUCAUCUAAGGAGGCUACGAUGCUACAUUUAGCCAUUGGUUGAAUAGGCAGCUUGUCUUCUAGUACAACUUUAAAUUUACCAAGAUUGAGAAUUUUCCUUCUGAAGAAAAGUAAUUUCUAUAGCAGCUAUUACCAUCUUCAUCCCAACGGUAAGCAGCUCCAUACUAAGGAAAGAGUGAAAUAGGUGUGCUUUACUUAUAGAAGCCCGUUCCUGUCCAGAGUGAUUAGUAAGCUGUUUCACCAUGACCCCCAUUAUGGUGACUGGAAAAAGAAAAAAAAAA
RNAcentral lists this long non-coding RNA (461 nucleotides) under Citrus sinensis (sweet orange). RNAcentral describes it as "long non-coding RNA (CSIN_LNC005359)". Lineage: Eukaryota; Viridiplantae; Streptophyta; Magnoliopsida; Sapindales; Rutaceae. The record is from RNAcentral.